AGAGUUUGAUCCUGGCUUAGGAUGAACGCUAGCGGCAGGCUUAACACAUGCAAGUCGAGGGGCAGCGGGAUGUAGCAAUACAUUGCCGGCGACCGGCGGAUGGGUGCGUAACGCGUAUGCAACCUACCUUAUACAGGGGAAUAACCUUUCGAAAGGGAGACUAACACCCCAUAGUAUUGAUUUAAGGCAUCUUAGAUUAAUUAAAUAUUUAUAGGUAUAAGAUGGGCAUGCGUACGAUUAGCUAGUUGGUAAGGUAACGGCUUACCAAGGCGACGAUCAUUAGGGGUUCUGAGAGGAAGGUCCCCCCACACUGGUACUGAGACACGGACCAGACUCCUACGGGAGGCAGCAGUGAGGAAUAUUGGUCAAUGGGCGCAAGCCUGAACCAGCCAUGCCGCGUGCAGGAAAGACGGCCUUAUGGGUUGUAAACUGCUUUUACAUAAGACUAACCGUAUAUUUGCGAAUAUACCUGAAUGUAUUAUGAGAAUAAGGAUCGGCUAACUCCGUGCCAGCCGCAGC
This 519-nucleotide ribosomal RNA is filed under the name uncultured bacterium. RNAcentral's name for it is "bacterial SSU rRNA". It matches the Rfam family "Bacterial small subunit ribosomal RNA", at positions 8 to 518 of the family's 1533-position model. The record is from RNAcentral.